Molecule: unclassified non-coding RNA, 146 nt
Filed under: uncultured Helotiales
Lineage: Eukaryota; Fungi; Ascomycota; Leotiomycetes; Helotiales
Description: sequence contains ITS2
Source: RNAcentral
CAACCCUCAAGCGCAGCUUGGUAUUGGGCUCCGCUGGUUCCAGCGGGCCUUAAAAUCAGUGGCGGCGCCUUCAGGCUCUGAGCGUAGUAAAUAUUCCUCGCUACGGAGCCCUGGACGGCGGUGGUCAUUAACCCCCAACUUUCUAA